This 26-nucleotide non-coding RNA is filed under the name Rattus norvegicus (Norway rat). Lineage: Eukaryota; Metazoa; Chordata; Mammalia; Rodentia; Muridae. The record is from RNAcentral.
UAAGCACAUGAAUUGGGAACAGAGAC